This 750-nucleotide ribosomal RNA is filed under the name uncultured Actinomyces sp. RNAcentral describes it as "bacterial SSU rRNA". It matches the Rfam family "Bacterial small subunit ribosomal RNA", at positions 28 to 776 of the family's 1533-position model. Lineage: Bacteria; Bacillati; Actinomycetota; Actinomycetes; Actinomycetales; Actinomycetaceae. The record is from RNAcentral.
GACGAACGCUGGCGGCGUGCUUAACACAUGCAAGUCGAACGAUGAAGCGGUGCUUGCACCGUGGAUUAGUGGCGAACGGGUGAGUAACACGUGAGUAACCUGCCCCCUUCUUUGGGAUAAGCAUUGGAAACGGUGUCUAAUACUGGAUAUUCAUGCAUGGCCGCAUGGUUGUGUGUGGAAAGGUUUUUUCUGGUGGGGGAUGGGCUCGCGGCCUAUCAGCUUGUUGGUGGGGUGAUGGCCUACCAAGGCUUUGACGGGUAGCCGGCCUGAGAGGGUGACCGGUCACACUGGGACUGAGAUACGGCCCAGACUCCUACGGGAGGCAGCAGUGGGGAAUAUUGCACAAUGGGCGAAAGCCUGAUGCAGCGACGCCGCGUGAGGGAUGACGGCCUUCGGGUUGUAAACCUCUUUCAGUAAGGACGCAGGGCAAUCUUUGGGUUGUUUGACGGUACUUGCAGAAGAAGCGCCGGCUAACUACGUGCCAGCAGCCGCGGUAAUACGUAGGGCGCAAGCGUUGUCCGGAAUUAUUGGGCGUAAAGGGCUCGUAGGCGGCGUGUCGCGUCUGUCGUGAAAACCAAUGGCUUAACUGUUGGCUUGCGGUGGGUACGGGCAUGCUUGAGUGCGGUAGGGGAGACUGGAAUUCCUGGUGUAGCGGUGGAAUGCGCAGAUAUCAGGAGGAACACCGGUGGCGAAGGCGGGUCUCUGGGCCGUUACUGACGCUGAGGAGCGAAAGCGUGGGGAGCGAACAGG